UUUGUUGCUAAGUUUUGUAUUCCACAAUGAUGUUCUUAUCUGUGUUCAAGACAAAUCAGAAAAAAAAAGUUGCAGAGGCCAAAAAAAACAACCUCCUGGCUAUUCUUCAAGAGAGGAAGAAUCGUAAAAGGAAGUCUCCUAUGUGCCCAACUCCCUUAAAGAAAGUGAGGGAGCGCAUCCUCUCCGACAGCUUUUCCGAAGAGGAUGGUGAUGACAAUGAUGAUGGUGGGGUUGUGCCAGAAACACUUUUAAAGGAGGCCAAACAAACACAACAACUUUACCAAAACAAGUUUAAGGAAAUGUCCCUACAACUGCAGGACACAAGAAAACAGUUAGAGGAUCAGAAGAAAAGAAGAGUAGCAGUUGAGGCUGAAAACAAAACACUUCGUGGUCUCAACAUUGAAUUGCAGCAACAACUGCUGAAGAAGUUGAAGACCACAUCAACCCCAAUUGAAACUGGAUGUGAGUGCAGAGGAACCAUCUGUAUCUCCUUAUGGAGACAAGAUUAGUUUGGAAGGAGACAUUAAUGUUAGGAAAGAGACCUGGGUCCGCAUUAACAGGAACAACCGCGACUCCUUAUUUGUGAAGGAAUUGGCAGUGGCAAUCUGGGGUACUAAAACCCUGGGGGAAAAAAGCCUAACUGGGAAGGAGUGCCCCACCACCAAAACCACCCGCCAGCCUUUAACCCCGAAGAAGCUGCAAACAUUGAAAGUCUGCUUUAAGGAGUGGCUCCAGAAAAAAACCCUGGAGGAGACCGAGUUGCAGGCCAGAUGGGCAAAGGCAGGGCGUUACAUUACAGAAAAAAAUCAUGGA
Pseudoliparis swirei is the source of this 813-nucleotide long non-coding RNA. RefSeq lists it as uncharacterized. The record is from RefSeq and is a predicted model, not a curated record. The transcript is spliced from 5 exons. NCBI's taxonomy places the organism in Eukaryota, Metazoa, Chordata, Actinopteri, Perciformes, Liparidae.